RNAcentral lists this ribosomal RNA (253 nucleotides) under uncultured bacterium. RNAcentral describes it as "partial 16S ribosomal RNA". It matches the Rfam family "Bacterial small subunit ribosomal RNA", at positions 524 to 776 of the family's 1533-position model. The record is from RNAcentral.
UACGUAGGCAGCAAGCGUUGUUCGGAAUUACUGGGCGUAAAGAGCGUGUAGGCGGUGUUCUAAGUUUGUCGUGAAAUCUCCCGGCUUAACUGGGAGGGUGCGGCGAAAACUGGAAUGCUAGAGGAUGGGAGAGGUAAGCGGAAUUCCUGGUGUAGAGGUGGAAUUCGUAGAUAUUAGGAAGAACACCAGUGGCGAAGGCGGCUUACUGGUCCGGAACUGACGCUGAGGUGCGAAAGCGUGGGGAGCAAACAGG